Molecule: non-coding RNA, 92 nt
Filed under: Planktothrix rubescens
Lineage: Bacteria; Bacillati; Cyanobacteriota; Cyanophyceae; Oscillatoriales; Microcoleaceae
Also listed under: 1 other name
Description: glnA
Rfam family: Glutamine riboswitch aptamer (glnA leader)
Source: RNAcentral
ACCGUUCAUCUCCCCCAAAUGCUCAAUUAAGAGGGAUGCGUUCAGGCGUUUGAGGAAGACGGAAGUAGGGAAUUUUCCCGAAGGAACGCACA